Lates calcarifer (barramundi perch) is the source of this 2644-nucleotide long non-coding RNA. RefSeq lists it as uncharacterized. The transcript is spliced from 3 exons. Lineage: Eukaryota; Metazoa; Chordata; Actinopteri; Centropomidae. The record is from RefSeq and is a predicted model, not a curated record.
AACAAAUGACUCCUUAGAGGGUUAUUGAGAAAUCAUCACCAUGUGUUGGUGAAAUUAUUGUGAUUUGAAUUUUCAAAAUAAAGUGUUACUUGGCAAAAAGAAAACAGCAUUAAACAACAACAUACUUUUGAUGGGAAUUUGAGAUUCGUAUCAGAUGUACUUUCAUCACAAGCACAUUUUACGCUUGGACUCUUACUUGCAUAUAUAUUAAUAACACUAAAGAUUAGGUCAUUUGUGUGGUGGAAGCUGCAGAAAAGUUCUUUUUGACAGCCAGCUUUAAAAUGUCACUUACUUAUAUUUUUACUUCUCUUCCUCAGGUGGCAUCACAUUGAAUCACUGUUGAAUGGUGGAGUGACAAUCACUGUAAACUUUUGGUACAAAGGUGCGCCCACACCCAAGAGGAUAGAGUACCCUCUGCGUGCUCAUCAGAAGGUGGCCAUUAUGAGGAACAUUGAGAAGAUGCUGGGAGAAGCACUUGGAGACCCACAUGAAGUUGGACCUUUACUGAAAACGAUGAUCAAGGGGCGAUAUGACCAGGAUCUGAGCUAGAGCCCCACCCUUAAAACUGGUAAAUAGAACUGCUUUGGAAAACUGUAUGCGUGUGAAAGUGAGACUGCAGCGUGUGUAAUGCGCAUCCUGACUUUUGGAGCUACGAAUCACUGCAUGGGAAUUAGCGGCCAUCUUGAAACCAUUCUGCUUCAGUCGUCUCUGAGUGCCAUUGUCCUCGCAAAUACCACAAUUACAGAAGAAACAUCUGACUAACUCAUGGGAAUUCGCCAUACUUGAAGAGGUCUUUUUUUCUCUCUUUUGGCUCAAGUCUAGAUUAUAUUUAUGUGAUUCAGUGUUCUCAUAAGUUAAUGGGUGUUUGGGUGUAUUUGCUCACCCAGUCGGUAAAUGUGUAAGAUUGGUACCUUUGUAGCAACCUCAAUAUUUUGACCACUAAUAGAUGAGUUAAGGGGUAUUAUAUAUAUAUAUAUAUAUAUAUAUAUAUAUACAGUAGACAUAAGUUAAUUACAGGACAUUUCUUAUAUUCAUGUAAGAAAAGAAAGCUAAUUUGGUUCAUACCUGUAAAGAUGACAGGUCUUUUAAGUGUCUUUGGAAUAUUUCUCUACAUAAUCUACAUUAUCUCUAAGCCUACUAAUGACAUGGUUUCAGGGAGUGAUCAAGAAUUUUCUGUUGCAACGAAGACAGCAUGGGCCCAGUACUAAAAGUUAGAGGAUGCAGUGAUUAAAAACAGUGAUGAAAUAUUAUCAAAAAUAUGUGUGGGCGUGCAAGAAAAGGGGGCUCAUAUAUUCAACUGAAGGAAUAUGUAAUGGCUUGCAGCUAAAUUAUUUUAGCAGAGGGAUUGCUUUGUGGUUUGUUUAUGCUCUUGCUUGUUUGAUUUAUAUUUCAAAGACUUUAUUGGAUGUGUUAUCCUGCGUACCAGUAAUAGGUCAGGGAGUGUUGACAAUGAAUCACAUACUGUAAAUUAGUUGCAAAUACAGUUAACUUUAAGAAUCAGUAGAAAAUACAGGAAGUUACUGUUUUUUGGGGAGACUUCUCAGAGUAUUAACAGGUAGUGUUUUGUUGAGAAUAUGAUGGUUAAAACAGCCAUGAGUGUAAGACUGGUUUGAAGUGAGUGGCUUGAAUGAUUGAUUUAUGUUAAAAUGUUAGUAACUGACUGAACUAGCAGGGCCAUCUGCUGGAAAGAAGCGUAUGUAUCAGCCAUUGCAGUGCAACACAAAUGCACCAUCUAGUGUUUCAAAUUUGCAGUUGCAUGUUAAGCUUGAUGUAUCUUGGUCCAUACACUAUACUUCUACAAUACAAAUAUUCAGUAUGUUGUGUUAAAUGUAGAUUAAAUUACGCUGCAAUGUGUACAAAAGUCUAAUUCCAGUUGAAAACCUGUACUUGCUGUAAUGAUUACUAUAGGUUAACAAGCCUCAGAAAUGCACUUGUUUUUACUUUCAAGCAGCCAUAUUUUGAAGACCUUGAAAUGAGAGCAACUCGAAAGAUGGCUGUUGCCAUGCAAGUUCUCUCUCAAGCAGUUGUAAAAAAAAAAAGUACAUUCAGCAUAAGGGGAGGGUACUUUCAUACGAUGUGUUGUAUGUGACAAACCAACAUACAAACCAGUAGAUGGGUAUGUUCAUAUUCAGAUGGCUUUGUUUGCCUGUGACAUUGGAUGAAUCAGUGAGUGGUGUACUGUAAAAUAGCCACACCAAAGCACCUAAUUCGCCAGGAAUACACAGGUUUUCAAGGGUUUUGUUUUGUCUGAUGAAAAUAAUACUUUUUCAUUGCUGAUAAUGUGCAUAAGUAUUUCUUAAAACUGCACGAUGAUCGAACAGUGCUACUUUCUCUGUAAAAGAACUCACCGUAAUAUGUAAAACUGAUGUUUCAUCUCUUUUCUAUUGCUAGAUUAACCCUGUUUACUGUAUGUGCCUUGCUUGCGUUGGUAUGGCACUAAAUGUCGCAAGAACUUGAUUUUUUUUAAACCUUUAUUUUGUGGUCAAAAUGUUUGUUUUCACUCUGGCAUUAAUCAGCUUUAAAGGUGAGAAGAAGGGGCUCAUAGAGCUAGAGGAAUGUUUUUACUGAUGGAUGCUGGUUUUCUGUUUUGAACAUACAGUAUGUGCUCACCUUGUUCCUCUGAUAAAGUUUGUUUGCAAAGUUC